GUGUUUGCUUUGGCAGCACAGGUACUAAAAUUGGAACCAUACAGAGAAGAUUAGCAUGGCCCCUGUGCAAAGCUGACAUGUAAGUUAUGAAACAUUUCAUAUUUAU
Molecule: small nuclear RNA, 106 nt
Filed under: Gorilla gorilla gorilla (western lowland gorilla)
Lineage: Eukaryota; Metazoa; Chordata; Mammalia; Primates; Hominidae
Source: RNAcentral